RNAcentral lists this long non-coding RNA (633 nucleotides) under Parus major (Great Tit). RNAcentral's name for it is "lncRNA (ENSPMJG00000014947.1)". The record is from RNAcentral. Lineage: Eukaryota; Metazoa; Chordata; Aves; Passeriformes; Paridae.
AGGUACUUAGGGGCUGAGGGUGGGGACUCUAGAACAUCCUGAAAAGGGGAAGCACUAAGCCAAAUAAUAAAUGGGACAUGUGAGUCUGUCAGCAUAUCCUGUAUAGCAUCACUUUGUUGUGACUCUCACGCCAUUUAGAAGGUUGCAAAGAAGUAUCAUUGCAUCUGGAGAAGGUCUUCCUCUGUGCAGCUGGACUACCAGGGCCACAGUCAGGUCGUGUUGGGUAUAUUCUGUGAGACUUCACUAGUGCUUGGGUUCUGGGGAAAAAAGAGAACACAGGCCCAUGCCAAGGGGGAAAUGCAGAGGGAGGAAUUCAGAACUCAGAAAGGAUCUCCAACAGCAGAAUCUCCAUCGUAAAGAAGGAAACAUGAAAACGACUGAAAUGACUUGGAGACUGAAGAUGCAACACGAAGGGCCAAGAGUAUUAGCAAACUAGCACAAGUACUCCACCCUUGGAAGAUCUGUAAAUACAUUACUCCAAACCCAUCUGGAAGCCCUCCAAAACCACUACAGGAAAGGUAGGCAUUAAUAACUGCUGCUAACAUCCAGAAAGAGUAAACUGGGAUUUCUUCUGGGUGAUGGCUGGUAUCUAAGACCAUCUUAACAAUUCCUACUGUGACCAAAGUUGGAAAG